RNAcentral lists this ribosomal RNA (574 nucleotides) under Pseudomelanconis caryae. Its description in RNAcentral is "eukaryotic LSU rRNA". It matches the Rfam family "Eukaryotic large subunit ribosomal RNA", at positions 56 to 655 of the family's 3401-position model. The record is from RNAcentral. Lineage: Eukaryota; Fungi; Ascomycota; Sordariomycetes; Diaporthales; Pseudomelanconidaceae.
GAAAAGAAACCAACAGGGAUUGCCCUAGUAACGGCGAGUGAAGCGGCAACAGCUCAAAUUUGAAAUCUGGCCUCGGCCCGAGUUGUAAUUUGCAGAGGAUGCUUCUGGCGCGGUGCCUUCCGAGUUCCCUGGAACGGGACGCCACAGAGGGUGAGAGCCCCGUAUGGUCGGACACCAAGCCUGUGUGAAGCUCCUUCGACGAGUCGAGUAGUUUGGGAAUGCUGCUCAAAAUGGGAGGUAAAUCUCUUCUAAAGCUAAAUACCGGCCAGAGACCGAUAGCGCACAAGUAGAGUGAUCGAAAGAUGAAAAGCACCUUGAAAAGGGGGUUAAACAGUACGUGAAAUUGUUGAAAGGGAAGCGCUUGUGACCAGACUUGUGCCGGGCGGCUCAUCAGGGGUUCUCCCCUGUGCACUCCGCCCGGCUCAGGCCAGCAUCGGUUCUCGCCGGGGGAUAAGAACGGUGGGAACGUGGCUCCCCUCGGGGAGUGUUAUAGCCCACCGUACGAUACCCUGGCGGGGACCGAGGUUCGCGCUCCGCAAGGAUGCUGGCGUAAUGGUCACUAGCGACCCGUCUU